This 2786-nucleotide non-coding RNA is filed under the name Pongo abelii (Sumatran orangutan). Lineage: Eukaryota; Metazoa; Chordata; Mammalia; Primates; Hominidae. The record is from RNAcentral.
ACACAUACACGUGUGCGAGCUGAGGCACCGGGGGCUGGAGGUAGAAGCGCGCCAUGCGGCUGCUGCGCUUGUUCUGUCCCCGGACACCGCUGGCUUGCUUCCCUUGUCAGCUGUGUGGGGACUGGCAGAGGGUGUGAGAGCGGGAAACGACCGGACGAGCGGCGGGGAGCGUCCUCGGUGAGGAGGAGGAAGUCUGGUCUUAGGUGUGAAGGGUGCUGACGCGUUCCGGCGCCUCACGGUGUCAUUCUCGGCUUCUGAGCGUUGCCCUACGCCGCAGCGGGUUUUCCUCAGCUGUGAAGCGCGGCUGCGGCCUGCCCGGGCUUCCCCCGGCCGGGAAGGUUCUGACGCCCGAGCCCAGCGCGGGCUUGGGCCUCCGCUGUCGGGCCAGGCUGGUCGCUCCGGGGCUGGGAGUUACGGCACCGGGGUUGGGGCGGAGAAGGCGAACUGGUUCAACUCGACCCAGUUAAGCAAGCGCAGCAGUGUGUGUUCUUGGAUCAUAGUAUUUCAUGUAAACAUUUUGAUUUAAGAGAAACAAAAGGGAAAAUAUUAACCGUUUUCAAGCAUCCAAAGGCGAAAUGCUUCAUCUCUGGGAUGGAGUAAAGGAGUAGCCUCUGAGGUUGAGUUGCAGUCGUGGGUGCAAGAAGCAGCGCUGAAGCGGAGUGCAGCGCCGGAAUAGGGCGGGAUGGAAUGGCGUGGGCAGUUCAGAAACCCGCGAGGAGUCCAGGGCGGAACAGGUAGGGAGCAGGGGAUUGUACUGAAAGAUGAAACUGAAAGAGGGGUACCGGAGACCAGAUCAUGAAAAGCCAUAUUAGGCUAACUGUGGCGCUUAUGCUUAAUCCUCAUUGACAGAUCUUGAGAUCAUUUUGAAAAAUCACUUUGUCUUCAGUUUGGUAAAAGUUUGGAGAAGGGCAGGACUUGGAAAACCAGCUUAGGGAGACCAAAUAGUAGUGACCUCCAAGGGAGAAACUGGACAGAAAGAAUAUUUAUAUUUUGUACCACAGAACUCCGGGGGUAUUGUUUUCUCCUUUAAUUUUACUUGAAAAAGUAAUAAAUGCACAUGCUAAAAAAUUCAGAACAUACAAAAGAAUAUACAAAGACUAUUAAGGUGUAGGAUUGUAGAGGGUUGAAUAGGAUCCCCCAAAAUUCACGUCCACCUAGACCCUCACAAUAUUAACUUAUUUGGAAAUAGGGUUUUUGCAGAUGUAAUUAGUUAAGAUGAGGUCACACUGGUAUAGAGUGAGCCGUAAAGCCAAUGGUUGGCGCCCUUAGAAGAAGACACGUAGAUAAAUGAGCACAGAGGGAAGAAGGUCAUUUGGAGAUAGAAGCAGGGAUUGGAGUGAUGCAACUGGAAGCCAAGAAACGCCGCAGAAUGCCAGGAGCCAGCAGAAGCUAAGAAAAGGCAAGGAUUAUUCCAAAGUGCCUUCCGAAGAAGCUUGGCCCUGCCAAAAACCUGAUUUCAGACUUCUAGCCCCCAAAACUGCAAGAGAAUAAAUUUUGUUGUUUUAGGACACACAGUUUGUGGUACUUUGUCAUGACCACCCCAGGAAACUCAUAUAGGGAUCAAGUUAUAAAUUCUAUCAGGCCAAAUUUAUUGAUAUGGACCCACCAGAGAUUCUGGAUUCAAUGUUUUAUCUCAGAGGCUUAGAAAAAGCUCUAAUGCUAUGUUUAAUCGCUGAGUAUGUCUUUUCCAAUUAUGCAUGUCAAACUAGGAAAAUAACCACAGGAUGCGUUUGGGGACCCACUGAGCCCACCGUGAGAAGGAUCUGAGUGAAAACUCCAUUGAUCGUUUAACCUCCAUCCACCCAGAAAGGCCUAUGUUAAAUGAAGUUGAAGCGCCAGAACUGCCUAGGUAUCUGUAGAGAAAGGUAUCCACAGGCUUGGGGAGAUUAGAAUAUUAGAGUGGAUUUAUCAUUUAAGACCUGCUUACCCACCCCAGGAGGGUCCAGAGGACAUACCUUUCACCAUGACUAAGAAAUAAAUUUGUGAGGAGAAUCCUAGCAUCCUUGAAGAGAUCUGUGGCUGCUCUUUAGUCACAUAUAUCUUACAGUGGAAACUGCUACUAUCAAACUAGGAUUCCUAAGUGCCCCCCCAGGGUGGCACUUAAUUGCCAAAAAGUAGGUGGGCAUGAUUACUAUAAUUACCAGCAGAGCUAAAACAAUAUUGUCUUACAGAGGCGUGUGCUGUUGGUCAGUUAAUCGUUGUGUCUCUAGGAAACAGAUAUCCUAACUUGCAUCACCAAAACAGUCACAACCUCUCAAUCAGUUCCCAGACUUGAGCCGGUUUACACUCUCAGAACUCUGAAUGAAGGAGAGGCUGGAUCCUCUUGAGGAAGGACUCUGCUACAUUGCCAAAAAUGUAUAUUGCUAUUUCCCCCAAAGAGACCAAUAGCCAUCUACCAGGGUAACUGUGCAUUGGGGGAAGAGAAAUAAUCAGAUUUGUCAGGGAUUACUACACAGUGGCUCUGACCUGAUACUAAUCUGGGGAAACCAAAAGCUUUACUCGGCCUACCAGUCAGAGUAGAGGCUUAAUGGAGGUCAAGUUAUCAAUGGAGUUUCAGCUCAGGUUCAUCUCUCAUUAGACCCGUUGAGUCCCUGGACCCAUCCUGUGCUUCUAUUUCCCCAGUUCCAGAAUGCAUAAUUAAAAGAGAUAUAUUCAGCCUGGUACAGUGGUUCAUACCUGUAUUCCCAGCACUUUGGGAGGCCGAGGUGGGCAGAUCACUAGGUCAGUAGUUCAAGACCAGCCUGGCCAACAUGGUGAAACCCCGUUUCUACUAAAAAUACAACAAC